CCUGAGGUAAUCUCAUCCAUAACAACUCUGCGUCGUAAGCUUGUCAAGGUCAUAAACUUCUGGCUCAUAUCAUCGACAGCCAUCCUAGAGCAAGGCCAGUUCAAGGGAAAAUCGGUGAGAUGCUCAUACUCCUCUAAUGUAGGAGUCAGCUUAUGAAUAUCGAAUCUAAAAACCUAUCUCUCUAGUAUCCAACAAGAUAUCAUGCCAUCUACAAAGCCCAACAGUACCUAGAACGUCAGGAGGGUUAUAGAAUGUCUUAAUAACUGAUCAACUGUCACCCGAUCUGUGGGAGACAAACUGCCAUACCAGGAUCUCAAAGAAGAGGCUACCAAUAUGGGUGGGGUAUGCUCAAUCCAGCUAACAGUGGAUGAAGACAUUUGUAAAACCGUAUCAUAAGACCAUCCAGGGGUCAAUGCUAAACUCACCUCUAGGAAGCAUAUCCAUGACAUAAUACAUGCAGCAUGAUAAAUAACAGUGAUAAACGACAGUAUGAUCUAGGGAAUAGAAAGCAUUAUACAUACAUUCCUAAAUACAUCAUCAUCUAAUACAUCAUCUCUGUAUACAACUGAAAAUAAAAAGUACAGGGAAAUAGGACACAGCCGCCCAAUAUCUAACAAAGACCUAUCAAAAGAUAUAACUAGAAAUGGGCCACAAGUUCCCAAUAUCUAACAGAGGCCUAUCAAAAGAGAUAACGAGAAAUCUAUCAGAAGAAAUCAAUGAUGUCCACAUCAUCCAAUCGAUCCAUCUGAUGUAACUCUUCCUGAGUCACUGAAUCUCUGUCAGAAAGGAUGUCAGGUCAAUACAAAUGUGGAUCGGCACUGGUAAAGCUAUCAGAAUAUGGGCCACCUGAAGGGCCAGCACCAGAGCUUGAUGGAUCAAAAGAAUCUGCCUCGGACGGAUCUCUGCCCAAAAGCCAGAUGAAAAAAUAUGCCCAGUCCAACCUCUGGUUCAAACUGUCAAUUUGCACCAAAUGAGUAGGCUCUCAGAUGCAGGCAAUCCAGUCUGUCAUCAUAAUAGACCAGGGACCAUAUCCCCCUUAAACUAUAUGGCGCGGGUCUGAGCUCCAAUGGUGCAAGGGAACCACCAGCGGUAGAAAGCCUCUUGAGUAAAAGGGCCCUCUGAUAAAGUGAAGCCAGCUAAAUCUCGGUGAUCGGCUGAGAUAAAGGUCAAUGUCGCCUGGCAGGGGGAAAGAAUGGAAUGCAAAUCUCCCUUGUGGUGCUCCUGAUAGCACGCUCUCCUAAAUAGAGCUCCUAGCCUCCAUCAGUUAGGAGUGGAAUCCGACGAGUGGAUAAUACAUACUUGACCUCAGUUGAAAAGCCACCCUCAAAGCCUACUGUCAAAUGGUCCUUGGAGUAGAGAACCCGUGUGAUGACAUUGGUUGUCAACAACUCCAACUGUAAACGAGAAUGGGUAAACCCCUCGGCUAUAGAAACCUCUGCAAGAGUGGAGUAAUGCCACCGUCGUCCCCAUGGAUAGGUCUCCAUACCUAAUGUAGUAACGGGACGAAGACAUGGAAGCCUCUCAUAGGCCCAAAACUAAAAAUGUACAGAUUAAAUAUCUUCAGUUAUGAAAACUGACAAUCCGAGCAAGGGAAAAUUAAAAGAUAAAGAGAAAAUACUCACUAGAAAAAAUGGGUAAAAGCCUAGCCAAGUCUUUGUUAUACCCUCUAAGCGUAGGCACAUCCCCCUAAGGAAGUAGGCAAAGGUGUAUGAGCCCCAGUCAAAGUCUCUGAUACGGUCCACCUCACGAGUGGCGCUAACUAAAGUGAAAGAAACCGUCAAGGAGUUGUCCGCUAGGAAACAACCCCUGAUGAUGAUCAGGAACAAUCACCGAAGAUUACGAUCUCUGACCCUCGGAUCAUCAGCCAAAGGCUCAAUAAUGCCCCACUCAAGGCAUCUACAUUCAAGGGCCCAAAAUGAAUGGUCCGACCCUUAAGGGCCAUGGCAGAAACUCAAAAAAGGAUUGCACGGCAGUUGGGGAAAUGUCAGCCACCAAAGGUACUGGCGCCCCUGUAAACUCCAACCCAGUGAUGAACCACCCGUCCAUCAGUGUCAUCAUAACCUUGCAAUCCAGGAAAUGAAGAGACUAGGUUUGGUGGAACUAGCGCUCAGACAAAGCCUUUAGAUAACCCCAUGGGCGACAACAGGGAGGAGUGAAAAAGAAAGCCUGAAAGCCUCAUGAAUGGAAGAUCUCCCGGUACUCUGAAUGGAGGGUUUGGUACAAAUAGUGAAUGCCAAACCAGUUCCUCCUAGGUUGGGUAAAGCCGGGAACCUACAUGAAAUUGCAAAUCAAGGUCAAAACCCUUUUCCCUUAAAGUGGGAAUAGAAAUAUGGAAAUGGCUAUUACCUUGUUCACAUGAAGGUAGAUCGAGGGAUAACGACUCAAAUCAUCUAGAAGAUCUGGAAUUGUCACGUUAAUAGCUGGACGCUCCCGGUAGGGAAUGGAAGAAGAAAGAUAAGGAUCCACAAUAGGAAGAUCAUCCUCCUCGUCCACGACAUCCGGCCUCUCAACCCGGAUAGGGCGAGUAACUGACUUAGUUAACC
This 2543-nucleotide long non-coding RNA is filed under the name Panax ginseng (ginseng). RNAcentral describes it as "long non-coding RNA (PGIN_LNC005292)". Lineage: Eukaryota; Viridiplantae; Streptophyta; Magnoliopsida; Apiales; Araliaceae. The record is from RNAcentral.